This 496-nucleotide ribosomal RNA is filed under the name uncultured bacterium. Its description in RNAcentral is "partial 16S ribosomal RNA". It matches the Rfam family "Bacterial small subunit ribosomal RNA", at positions 28 to 507 of the family's 1533-position model. The record is from RNAcentral.
GAUGAACGCUGGCGGCGUGCCUAAUACAUGCAAGUCGAGCGAACGGACGAGAAGCUUGCUUCUCUGAUGUUAGCGGCGGACGGGUGAGUAACACGUGGAUAACCUACCUAUAAGACUGGGAUAACUUCGGGAAACCGGGCUAAUACCGGAUGAUAUUUUGAACCGCAUGGUUCAAAAGUGAAAGACGGUCUUGCUGUCACUUAUAGAUGGAUCCGCGCUGCAUUAGCUAGUUGGUAAGGUAACGGCUUACCAAGGCAACGAUGCAUAGCCGACCUGAGAGGGUGAUCGGCCACACUGGAACUGAGACACGGUCCAGACUCCUACGGGAGGCAGCAGUAGGGAAUCUUCCGCAAUGGGCGAAAGCCUGACGGAGCAACGCCGCGUGAGUGAUGAAGGUCUUCGGAUCGUAAAACUCUGUUAUUAGGGAAGAACAUAUGUGUAAGUAACUGUGCACAUCUUGACGGUACCUAAUCAGAAAGCCACGGCUAACUACGUG